GACGAACGCUGGCGGCGUGCUUAACACAUGCAAGUCGAACGAAGAGCGAUGGAAGCUUGCUUCUAUCAAUCUUAGUGGCGAACGGGUGAGUAACGCGUAAUCAACCUGCCCUUCAGAGGGGGACAACAGUUGGAAACGACUGCUAAUACCGCAUACGAUCCAAUCUCGGCAUCGAGGAUGGAUGAAAGGUGGCCUCUAUUUAUAAGCUAUCACUGAAGGAGGUGAUUGCGUCUGAUUAGCUAGUUGGAGGGGUAACGGCCCACCAAGGCGAUGAUCAGUAGCCGGUCUGAGAGGAUGAACGGCCACAUUGGGACUGAGACACGGCCCAGACUCCUACGGGAGGCAGCAGUGGGGAAUCUUCCGCAAUGGACGAAAGUCUGACGGAGCAACGCCGCGUGAGUGAUGACGGCCUUCGGGUUGUAAAGCUCUGUUAAUCGGGACGAAAGGUCCUCUUGCGAAUAGUUAGAGGAAUUGACGGUACCGGAAGAGAAAGCCACGGCUAACUACGUG
This 510-nucleotide ribosomal RNA is filed under the name uncultured bacterium. Its description in RNAcentral is "partial 16S ribosomal RNA". It matches the Rfam family "Bacterial small subunit ribosomal RNA", at positions 28 to 507 of the family's 1533-position model. The record is from RNAcentral.